This 1473-nucleotide long non-coding RNA is filed under the name Capsicum annuum. RNAcentral's name for it is "long non-coding RNA (CANN_LNC000806)". Lineage: Eukaryota; Viridiplantae; Streptophyta; Magnoliopsida; Solanales; Solanaceae. The record is from RNAcentral.
CCACUACAAAAAGAUACCCUGUGUACUAAACAUAAUCCAAAAUAUAAACAAUAUAUAUAUAGUAGUCUCGAGUACAAAAGACUGAAUUGAAAUAGACAGAGGAGGAUCAGUCUCGAACGACAGUAAGCUUACCCUGCUUCGAAUCAGUACUGAAAGGUAGAAACCACAUCAACGUCGACUGUUAGUACUCAAAUCUGCGUCAGAAAAAACAUGCAAAAUUGUAGUAUGAGUACCAAAGCGACAGGUACUCAGUAAGCAUCAUCGGCUGACUCAGCUCAAUACAGAAAAAGUAGAACUAAAAUAAGAGGGUGUAAUCUAAGUCAACAGUAAAGAGGGAUAGAAAGGUAAACAAGUACCAAGCUACGCAAAUGUGAUAUGGAAUAAAUAUAAGUGAUACAGAAAAAUAAAUAACGAAUUAAUAAAAUAGAAAUGAAACAUAACCUAAAUAGAUCCUCAUAAGUCCGCUAGGCACACUGAAGAAGACAAUUAACUAAACUGUAUCCCCAUAAGUCUGUAAAAUACAUAAGAAAUAAUUAAUGAAAAUAAAUAUAAAUAAUCUGUAAUCAAACCCAGUCCCAUGAAACCAUAGUAAUCAUCCAGAUAUGCAUCGGGCUUGAACUGGUACUAAUAGGUAGUAAUGAGAAGUCAGAUGUUGGGCUCAAACCAAUAGUAAUGGAUAAUAACAAGAGUACAUAUGUCAGAUUUGAACCGGAUAUGAUGGGUAGUAAUGAGAUGACACAUAUAUGAUAUACAACAGAACUCAUAAUCAGAUGUCGGACUUGAAUAGAAAUUCAGAGGAACCACAACUCCACAACGAUAGUAAUCAGUACCAGAAUUUCCACAUCAUAACCAGAUGUCGAAUUCUAACUGAACUCAUAGUAACCAUACCCAACUGUAAAAUUAAAAUUUCAAAUCAUACCAUAACCAAUGCUAAAGUGGUGCAAAAAUUCACAACAAGAACAAAAGAAAAAACAUACCUGACCCUAAAUCGUAACUAAAAAUACAUAUAAAUAACUAUUCGCAUAACAUAAUUAAAAAGGAUGAAUCCAAGGUUCCAUAAUUUACUUCUACUUCCUACCAUGAUAUAUUCUAUAUUAUACCAAAAGAUAAGAUAUCAAAAUAUACUAGAACAGAGUCCUAGACGAAUAAAUUAGGCAUUAUAUAUAUAUAUAUAUAUAUAUAAAAUGAUCCGCAAAUUAUAAGUACUUGUCCAAAACUAGCAUAAUAGUACACAAUUAUCGUAGAUAAGCUCAAUCUAAAAAUAAGAUAAGUCUAGCCUACCUAAACGCCAAAGCUAAAAAACCUCUUCGAGAAGCCUUCGAAAAGUGUCCCGCUAGAAACCAAGUGGAAUAAAUAUAGAAGUACCUUAAAUUUACUUUGUGAUGCAAUCGGGCAUGAAUGAAAACUUAUUGAUAGAAAAUUUUUAAAAAGUUCCACGAACAGAAUGUUUUAAAACUCGAUGUAGAAUGUAAU